GUUUUUUGGAAUGAACGUUGUGAAAUCCCUCCUUUAUAAUGGCAGGUUUUCAGUUGGUGGUUUUAUCAGAAUUUCUCAAGAUCAAAACGAAACCUUCUCUUUAAAAAGGAAAGAAAGUACUAUCGAUACAGAAAGCAAAAGUAUUUCCAGUCUCCUACUGAACUGUCACGGCAGACCUCUCUGUAUCUAUAUUUAGAGCUGUAUGUCCAUAUAUUUGCCUGAAUGUGUGAGUUCUUGGAAGUAUGGAUUCAUUGCCAGGAGCUGGUGAUUUCCUAAGCAGAGGUCGCUAACUACAAGAAAUGUUACACUCGGACAAGUCCUGCGCUUGGGGAUCCUCUGUACGCCCGUUCACUGGUGCAGGUCUUCUGAACAAAUGCCUCCUGAGGAUUUCUGUGCCUGGAAAAUAUCUGUUAACAGACUGCUUUUACACCUACGCUUGCACCCUCACGACAUGCUCUCUCUCUCUCCCUCUCCUCUUUUCUCUCUUCUCUCCCUUCUCUCCUCUCUCUUAUCUCUCUCUUCUCUCUCUCGUACACAUACUCUGGAAAGCCAGCUACCAUACUGGGAACUGCCCAAUGGAGAGGCCCACAUUCCACAAGGAACUGAUGUCUUCAGCCAAUACCUCGCCAGGACCUGAGGCCUGCUGAGAGUCACGAGUGGCCUUCGUGGGUCCUCUCUCAACGAGCUUGCAGGUGACCACUGCGCCAGCCAAAACCUUGAUGGCAGCCUAUGAGUGAGUGACCCUGAGCCAGAAGACCCAGUUAAGCCAUGCCCAGGAUCCUGACCUGCAGAAACUAUGACAUAAUAAAUUUAUUGUUUUAUGCCACUAACUUUUGGGGUUACUUAUGCAGCAAUAGAUAGCUAAUACAGCUCAUAGUAUCCUUAUCUAGCCUCAAACAUUCUGCCUUUAGUAUCUAACUUUCCUAACUUUUUAGAUAAACUUUUUUGGGGGGGAUAAUUUUAGAUUUACAGAAAAAAGGCAAAGAUAGUAUAGAGAGUUCCUUUAUAUUUCUCUCCUAGUUUCCUCUAUUGUUCAUAUCUCAUAAAACGAUGGUUUUGGGUUUUUUGAGACGGCGUCUCACUCUGUCACCCAGGCUAGAGUGCAGUGGUGAUCAUAGCUCACUGCAGCCUUGAACUCCUGGCUCAAGGGAUCUUACUACCUCAGCUUCCCAAGUAGCUGGGUUCACAGCAUGUACCACCACACAUGGCUAAUUAAAACAUAUAUAUAUUAUAUAAUAUAUAUAUUUUAAGUUAUUAGUAAGUAUAUCAAAUACUGCUCCAGAUUUACAAAUGGUUAUUUUCCACUAUGAUGUCAAUACACAUUAAUUUG
This 1330-nucleotide long non-coding RNA is filed under the name Homo sapiens (human). RNAcentral describes it as "HSALNT0129058". Lineage: Eukaryota; Metazoa; Chordata; Mammalia; Primates; Hominidae. The record is from RNAcentral.